GCUGCGCCGUCCGCCUGGACCGCCGCGCCGUCCUACCUCAUCCUCGCCUCCCAAGGACCUCGGCAACCGGGGAAUGUUUAAUUUGAUCUCGCCUGCAACACCGUCGCUGUAGGGAAGUCGUCCAAUGAGAUCCGUGCGCAUCAGACCUGGCGGUGGCUCCUCUCCUCAGCCGGACCCAAAGCUGGAGAAGGCGCUGCUGGCUGUCCACUUCAUCGGCUACUUCACCCGGGAUGGCGUCGCAGGCAUAUCGUUGUCAAGUUGGUGUUAAAAUCAAUGUACGCAUAUUCUUAGAUCUGAUUAGGGUCGUCGAGGAGAAGAACGGUGGCCCGGACCACAUACACAUUAUGGAACGCAACUUGCGGACGAUGUGCGUGGAGAAGAGAUCCUGAGGAGGAGAGGAUAUUGGAUCUGAGUGCGCGAGGGAGAAGCAAAAGGAUAUUCAGAAAGUACAGUCUGCAGUAUAUACAUUGAAAUAUUGCCAAUCUCCCCGCUGCUUCUCACGAAGUAUCAAUCUCGGACUGAUUGCUCUCUUCUUGUGGUCUUACAAGACUUGAAAUAUUGGUAUGUCCCAUACAUUGUCUUAAUGCAUUAGUUUUGUUAUAUUUGCAGUGUGCACAUGACUCUUUCUUAUCUUUAUUUAUUAAUAACAAAUAAACAACAUUGUUUGUUAUCUUUACUUAUUAAUAAAAGUAAGUAGGAAUUCUGGAUAAUGACUUAUGAAUAACAAUAUGUAGAAAUUCUGAAUAAAAAAGUACAUGAGAAAUAUGGUAUCCACCUUAACAGAGCAAUAAUAAUUUUAGUUGCUGAGAGGUUGACGUUGAAAUUUUUAGAGAGCUAGACCCAUCUUGUAUGCCAACAUUGGUCUUUAGAUUAGUCAGUGUUGUGUUGCAGCAUAUGUUCGCUAUAGAAUAUGUUUAGGAUUUCUAUAGAAUUUGAUCUGCAGGAUUUUGAUACUAAUGUCUACAUCCUUAUAAAGAUGUUUCAUGUUUCUGAAAUGAAUUUUGUCUAUGUGAAGAGAAGAAAGAGUGGAUAGCAGUAGCAGGUCUUAAAUUUGCAAGCUUUUCUUCAAGCAAGUUAAUCAUAUGUACUAAAUGUUUGUCAAAUUAUAAUUAAAGGUGAAUGGUUCGUUA
Triticum dicoccoides is the source of this 1130-nucleotide long non-coding RNA. RefSeq lists it as uncharacterized. NCBI's taxonomy places the organism in Eukaryota, Viridiplantae, Streptophyta, Magnoliopsida, Poales, Poaceae. The transcript is spliced from 4 exons. The record is from RefSeq and is a predicted model, not a curated record.